RNAcentral lists this ribosomal RNA (253 nucleotides) under uncultured bacterium. RNAcentral describes it as "partial 16S ribosomal RNA". It matches the Rfam family "Bacterial small subunit ribosomal RNA", at positions 524 to 776 of the family's 1533-position model. The record is from RNAcentral.
UACGUAGGGACCGAGCGUUGUCCGGAAUCAUUGGGCGUAAAGAGCGUGUAGGCGGCCUUUUAAGUCCUGCGUGAAAUCCUGCGGCUCAACCGCAGACGGUCGUGGGAAACUGGAAGGCUAGAGUGCGGGAGAGGAGAGUGGAAUUCCCGGUGUAGCGGUGAAAUGCGCAGAUAUCGGGAAGAACACCGGUGGCGAAGGCGGCUCACUGGCCCGGAACUGACGCUGAGACGCGAAAGCGUGGGGAGCAAACAGG